GCGGGUAUAGUAUAAUGGCCAUUAUGGCUGCCUUCCAAGCAGCAGAUGGGAGUUCGAUUCUCCCUGCCCGCA
This 72-nucleotide transfer RNA is filed under the name Candidatus Ryanbacteria bacterium RIFCSPHIGHO2_12_FULL_47_12b. RNAcentral describes it as "tRNA-Gly". It matches the Rfam family "tRNA". From Rfam's summary of the family: Transfer RNA (tRNA) molecules are approximately 80 nucleotides in length. Their secondary structure includes four short double-helical elements and three loops (D, anti-codon, and T loops). The record is from RNAcentral. RNAcentral also lists the same sequence under 2 other names. Lineage: Bacteria; Candidatus Ryaniibacteriota.